Molecule: non-coding RNA, 74 nt
Organism: Phrynosoma platyrhinos (Desert horned lizard)
Lineage: Eukaryota; Metazoa; Chordata; Lepidosauria; Squamata; Phrynosomatidae
Source: the annotation of a GenBank genome assembly
GAUUCAGUGUGGUGCAAUGGUUUAAGUGUUGGACUAAGGCUCUAGAGACCAAGGUUCAAAUCCCAGCUCAAUCA